AUGUGUGUGUGUGUGUGUGUGUGUGUGUGGGUGUGUGAGCGGGGAGCGGCUCCUCUUCCCGGUAGGGAGUGAAACUACUUGUUCAGCUCUUAUUUAUCGCUGGAAGGAACUGCUCCUUCCCUGCAUGAUAACAGAACACAGAACAAGUCUUGUAACAAACAACAGUCCGAGUCAUCAAAAAGUCACCAUGCAGUAUUCUAUCAUCGCAGGCUUAUAUCAUUCAAAGUUUAUACUGACUACUAAGUACAAUUUUCCAUUGACAAAGUCUUGUACAUUUAAAAUAUUUUUUGCUCUAAAAAUCCAACCACAGUUUGUAAAUAUGUUCAUGUUUCCUCCUCCAGAUGCUCCAGAGCUUCCCUCUGUGUCAGUGAGUCCCUCUGCUGAGAUAGUGGAGGGCAGUUCAGUGACUCUGACCUGUAGCAGUGAUGCUAACCCAGCAGCUAAUUACACCUGGUACAAGGAGGAUGAAGACUCCUCUAGAACAUCAGGACACAACUUCACCAUCAGCAACAUCAGACCUGAGCACAGUGGGAGUUAUUACUGUGUGGCCCACAACAAUAGAGGGACUCAUAACUCCACCUUACAGCUGACUGUUGUAGCAGGAGCAGGAACAUUAGAAGCUGCUGGAGUAACUGCUGCUGUUCUCCUGCCUGUCAUAUUCUUCUCUGUCUUCCUGUGGAUUCA
Long non-coding RNA from Oreochromis niloticus (Nile tilapia), 684 nucleotides. RefSeq lists it as uncharacterized. The transcript has 2 exons. NCBI's taxonomy places the organism in Eukaryota, Metazoa, Chordata, Actinopteri, Cichliformes, Cichlidae. The record is from RefSeq and is a predicted model, not a curated record.